CCCUUAGAUGUUCUGGGCUGCACGCGUGCUACACUGAUUACUUCAACAAGUGUUUUAACUGGAGAGUUCGCGUAAUCCUGAAAUGUUAUCGUGAUGGGAGUAGAGUAUUGUAUUUGUUAAUCUUUAACGAGGAAUUCCUAGUAAGUGUAGGUUUAUAAGUUGUUCUGAUUACGUCCCUGCCCUUUGUACACACCGCCCGUCGCUCCUACCGAUUGAUUGAUCCGGUGAAUUACAUAGAAUUUUGCGUUUUACAUGACGGAAGAUGAAGUGCUUUAAACCUUAUCAUUUAGAGGAAGGAGAAGUCGUAACA
This 310-nucleotide ribosomal RNA is filed under the name uncultured eukaryote. Its description in RNAcentral is "partial 18S ribosomal RNA". It matches the Rfam family "Eukaryotic small subunit ribosomal RNA", at positions 1470 to 1796 of the family's 1831-position model. The record is from RNAcentral.